This 572-nucleotide long non-coding RNA is filed under the name Homo sapiens (human). RNAcentral describes it as "HSALNT0107162". Lineage: Eukaryota; Metazoa; Chordata; Mammalia; Primates; Hominidae. The record is from RNAcentral.
AUUGUUAAAGUCUGUGGCUUUAGAAAAGGAUGAAAUCUGCCUAAAAAAUAUUUCUCUACUCUUCCCAGAGUUGCUUUUGGAAGCGAUAUCUUUAUAUCCAAUACGAUCCUUCUCAAAGGUACUUUCAUCUGCUUUAUUUCCUAUUUUCAUGAUUACCUUGAAAGAAUUAUUCCCACCUAUCAAAUGAAGGAACUGAAGAUAAAAGAAGUUAAAUAUCUUACCCAAGGAGUAUGAUAAGAAAUUUUAUUAAAAGCCAAAAUCACUGAAAUCUGAAUAUAACAUGGAGCUCCCCCUCCCUUUUCUACCUCAUCAGGAAGAAUCUGUACCACUAAGGAAUUUUACACACUUCAGUCACCUGGGGCAGCAAAUUCUUCUUCUGCAUUAUCUGAGCUGAAUAAUAUUGGAAGCUAAAGGACACUUCUCUUUAUUUAUGUACUCUUGAGCUAUGGAAAAUGAAAAUAGUGCCAGAAAAAUUGAGUUCAGACUUUUUCUUUGGGAAAUAUGAUGGUCUUUUUACAAUAAACCCUUAGAUAUGGCUACCACAAACCCUGUUAUCUGGCAUUCAGUUCACC